AUUAACGCUAGCGGCAGGCAUAAUACAUGCAAGUUGAACGGCAGCGCAGGUAGCAAUACCGGGUGGCGAGUGGCGCACGGGUGCGUAACACGUAUGCAACCUACCCUAUACAGGCGAAUAACCUUUAGAAAUGAGGGCUAAUACGCCGUGGUAUUAUCUUGGGGCAUCUUGAGAUAAUUAAAGAUUUAUCGGUAUAGGAUGGGCAUGCGUCCCAUUAGUUAGUUGGUAGGGUAACGGCCUACCAAGGCUAUGAUGGGUAGGGG
RNAcentral lists this ribosomal RNA (263 nucleotides) under uncultured bacterium. RNAcentral's name for it is "partial 16S ribosomal RNA". It matches the Rfam family "Bacterial small subunit ribosomal RNA", at positions 29 to 289 of the family's 1533-position model. The record is from RNAcentral.